RNAcentral lists this ribosomal RNA (253 nucleotides) under uncultured bacterium. RNAcentral describes it as "partial 16S ribosomal RNA". It matches the Rfam family "Bacterial small subunit ribosomal RNA", at positions 524 to 776 of the family's 1533-position model. The record is from RNAcentral.
UACGUAGGUGGCGAGCGUUGUCCGGAUUUACUGGGCGUAAAGGGCUUGUAGGCGGUCCGUUAAGUCCGAUGUGAAAUCUCCCGGCUCAACUGGGAGAGGGCAUUGGAUACUGGCGGACUAGAGGGGGGUAGAGGAAAGCAGAAUUCCUGGUGUAGCGGUGAAAUGCGUAGAUAUCAGGAGGAAUACCAGUGGCGAAGGCGGGUCUCUGGACAGUUCCUGACGCUGAGGCACGAAGGUCAGGGGAGCAAACGGG